Molecule: ribosomal RNA, 253 nt
Filed under: uncultured bacterium
Lineage: Bacteria
Description: partial 16S ribosomal RNA
Rfam family: Bacterial small subunit ribosomal RNA
Source: RNAcentral
UACGUAGGGUGCGAGCGUUAAUCGGAAUUACUGGGCGUAAAGCGUGCGCAGGCGGUUCGUUGUGUCGGCGGUGAAAGCCCCGGGCUCAACCUGGGAAUGGCCGUUGAAACUGGCGGACUGGAGUGUGGCAGAGGGGGGUGGAAUUCCGCGUGUAGCAGUGAAAUGCGUAGAGAUGCGGAGGAACACCGAUGGCGAAGGCAGCCCCCUGGGCUGACACUGACGCUCAGGCACGAAAGCGUGGGGAGCAAACAGG